GUGUUCAAGUUUUUAAGGGCAUACGGUGGAUGUCUUGGCAUCAGGAGCCGAUGAAGGACGUGGGAGCCUGCGAUAUGCCUCGGGGAGUCGGCAACCAGACGUUGAUCCGGGGAUUUCCGAAUGGGGAAACCUAGCACUCGUUAUGGGGUGUUGCCGCCAGCUGAAUGCAUAGGCUGGUUGGUGGGAACGCGGGGAAGUGAAACAUCUCAGUACCCGCAGGAAGAGUAAACAAGAGUGAUUCCGUCAGUAGUGGUGAGCGAACGCGGAAGAGCCUAAACCGAUCGUGUGUGAUAGCCGGCGGGCGUUGCACGGUCGGGGUUGUGGGACCAUCCCGCUGCCUCCGCUGGGGUAGCAAAGAGUUACAAAAUCUUGUGGUAGUCGAACGGCAUGGGAAGGCCGACCGUAGACGGUGAGAGUCCGGUAGGCGAAACUGCAAGAUCUUCUGGGUGUGUUCCCCGAGUAGCACGGAGCCCGUGAAAUUCCCGUGUGAAUCUGCCACGACCACGUGGUAAGGCUGAAUACUCCCUGAUGACCGAUAGCGGACAAGUACCCGUGAGGGAAAGAUGAAAAGUGCCCCGGUGAGGGGUCGUGAAAUAGUACCUGAAACCCGUGUGCCUACAAGCCGUCAGAAGCGUCCUUUCAGAUUUAUCUAAUUCGUGAUGGCGUGCCUUUUGAAGAAUAAGCCUGCGAGUUAUGGUGUGUGGCCAAGGUUAACCGGUGUCGGGUAGCCGUAGCGAAAGCGAGUCUAAAGAGGGCGACUUUAGUCGCAUGCUGUAGACCCGAAGCGGAGUGAUCUAGCCAUGGGCAGGUUGAAGCGCCGGUAAGACGGUGUGGAGGACCGAACCCACCAGGGUUGAAAACCUGGGGGAUGACCUGUGGUUAGGGGUGAAAGGCCAAUCAAACUCCGUGAUAGCUGGUUCUCCCCGAAAUGCAUUUAGGUGCAGCGUCACAUGUUUCUCGCCGGAGGUAGAGCUACUGGAUGGCUAAUGGGCCCUACAAGGUUACUGACGUCAGCCAAACUCCGAAUGCCGGUGAGUGAGAGUGUGGCAGUGAGACUGCGGGCGAUAAGGUUCGUAGUCGAGAGGGAAACAGCCCAGAUCAUCGACUAAGGCCCCUAAGCGUGUGCUAAGUGGGACAGGAUGUGGAGUUGCCGUGACAACCAGGAGGUUGGCUUAGAAGCAGCCAUCCUUGAAAGAGUGCGUAAUAGCUCACUGGU
RNAcentral lists this ribosomal RNA (1216 nucleotides) under Actinocorallia longicatena. RNAcentral's name for it is "bacterial LSU rRNA". It matches the Rfam family "Bacterial large subunit ribosomal RNA", at positions 1 to 1149 of the family's 2925-position model. The record is from RNAcentral. Lineage: Bacteria; Bacillati; Actinomycetota; Actinomycetes; Streptosporangiales; Thermomonosporaceae.